AAUUCGCCCUUAGAGUUUGAUCAUGGCUCAGAUUGAACGCUGGCGGCAUGCCUUACACAUGCAAGUCGAACGGCAGCAUAGGAGCUUGCUCCUGAUGGCGAGUGGCGAACGGGUGAGUAAUAUAUCGGAACGUGCCCUAGAGUGGGGGAUAACUAGUCGAAAGACUAGCUAAUACCGCAUACGAUCUACGGAUGAAAGUGGGGGAUCGCAAGACCUCAUGCUCCUGGAGCGGCCGAUAUCUGAUUAGCUAGUUGGUGGGGUAAAAGCCUACCAAGGCAACGAUCAGUAGCUGGUCUGAGAGGACGACCAGCCACACUGGGACUGAGACACGGCCCAGACUCCUACGGGAGGCAGCAGUGGGGAAUUUUGGACAAUGGGGGCAACCCUGAUCCAGCAAUGCCGCGUGAGUGAAGAAGGCCUUCGGGUUGUAAAGCUCUUUUGUCAGGGAAGAAACGGUAGUAGCGAAUAACUAUUACUAAUGACGGUACCU
RNAcentral lists this ribosomal RNA (490 nucleotides) under uncultured bacterium. RNAcentral describes it as "bacterial SSU rRNA". It matches the Rfam family "Bacterial small subunit ribosomal RNA", at positions 1 to 480 of the family's 1533-position model. The record is from RNAcentral.